Non-coding RNA from Caenorhabditis elegans, 223 nucleotides. NCBI's taxonomy places the organism in Eukaryota, Metazoa, Nematoda, Chromadorea, Rhabditida, Rhabditidae. The record is from Ensembl.
AACAUAUCAUCGCAACCGACAACUAACGGGACCUCGCCAACCAAAAUGGUUGAGGGGGUUCAACCCGUGAGACGUCGGCUGCUAUUACUUUUCACUUUUCACUGAACAAAGGUUGAACUUCUACCAGCUUUUUUUUCAAAAUUUUUCGGUCGCAAAUUCAAGGUUAUUUUUUAAGAAGCUACGACGCGAAAAUCAAAUUCAAGCUUUAAUUUUACCGCGAAAU